This is a long non-coding RNA of Zophobas morio, 492 nucleotides long. RefSeq lists it as uncharacterized. NCBI's taxonomy places the organism in Eukaryota, Metazoa, Arthropoda, Insecta, Coleoptera, Tenebrionidae. The record is from RefSeq and is a predicted model, not a curated record. The transcript has 3 exons.
AAUAGAUAAGGGGGAAUAUGUACGACCUCUCAGUCGAGUUUUCACUCGGUGUUUUCAGUGAGCUAACUUUAAAGCCCUUUUCAAUUAAGCUUUUAUCAGAAACCUCUCUGCUACUCUGGGGCGUAAUAACCUAUUAAAGAAUGAACAAUUUUAUAUCAGCGAUUAUAAAACGUUUUAUAUAGUAGUUUUUUGUUUUUUUUUUAUAGACGCUGAACGUUACUAAAGAAAUUAGUCAUUCUUUGUCCGGUUUUUCUUAGGAAGAUAAAGCACCACAACUUAGAAGGGAAGUUAGCUUUCUAGCAUGAUGCGCUUACUAAUGCACUCGAAAUAGCGUCCUAUCAAAGUGGAAAGGGAUAUAACUAGGUUCUAAGUAACUUUCAGCGCAAAGCACUAUAAGACAAAGUUAGCUAAAAUGAGCCAAUACAGGUGGAAAGCUUUAUCAACUUCGACUCAGGUAACCUUAUUACAUCUUAAAUAAUAAAAUCGCAGUAG